This 253-nucleotide ribosomal RNA is filed under the name uncultured bacterium. Its description in RNAcentral is "partial 16S ribosomal RNA". It matches the Rfam family "Bacterial small subunit ribosomal RNA", at positions 524 to 776 of the family's 1533-position model. The record is from RNAcentral.
UACAGAGGUCUCAAGCGUUGUUCGGAUUCAUUGGGCGUAAAGGGUGCGUAGGCGGCGGGGUAAGUCAGGUGUGAAAUCCCGGAGCUCAACUCCGGAACUGCACUUGAUACUGCCUUGCUAGAGUACUGGAGAGGGAACUGGAAUUUACGGUGUAGCAGUGAAAUGCGUAGAUAUCGUAAGGAAGACCAGUGGCGAAGGCGAGUUCCUGGACAGUUACUGACGCUGAGGCACGAAGGCCAGGGGAGCAAACGGG